This 245-nucleotide ribosomal RNA is filed under the name Blepharisma japonicum. RNAcentral's name for it is "partial Bacterial small subunit ribosomal RNA". It matches the Rfam family "Bacterial small subunit ribosomal RNA", at positions 675 to 918 of the family's 1533-position model. The record is from RNAcentral. Lineage: Eukaryota; Ciliophora; Heterotrichea; Heterotrichida; Blepharismidae.
GUAGCAGUGAAAUGCGUAGAUAUCAUGAGGAAUACCAGAGGCGAAGGCGGCUACCUGGACAAUUGCUGACGCUCAGGCACGAAAGCGUGGGGAGCAAAAGGGAUUAGAUACCCCUGUAGUCCACGCCCUAAACGGUGCACACUAGGUCUUGGCGGAUUCGACCCCACCAGGGCCCAAGCUAACGCGUUAAGUGUGCCGCCUGAGGACUACGGCCGCAAGGCUAAAACUCAAAGGAAUUGACGGGG